UACGAAGGGGGCUAGCGUUGCUCGGAAUCACUGGGCGUAAAGCGCACGUAGGCGGAUUGCUAAGUCAGGGGUGAAAUCCUGGAGCUCAACUCCAGAACUGCCCUUGAUACUGGCGGUCUCGAGUCCGGGAGAGGUGAGUGGAACUGCGAGUGUAGAGGUGAAAUUCGUAGAUAUUCGCAAGAACACCAGUGGCGAAGGCGGCUCACUGGCCCGGUACUGACGCUGAGGCGCGAAAGCCAGGGGAGCAAACGGG
Molecule: ribosomal RNA, 253 nt
Filed under: uncultured bacterium
Lineage: Bacteria
Description: partial 16S ribosomal RNA
Rfam family: Bacterial small subunit ribosomal RNA
Source: RNAcentral